Molecule: unclassified non-coding RNA, 363 nt
Filed under: Hevea brasiliensis (rubber tree)
Lineage: Eukaryota; Viridiplantae; Streptophyta; Magnoliopsida; Malpighiales; Euphorbiaceae
Source: RNAcentral
GGCUCGUAUAGGUAAGAAUAGCCUCCAACUCCUGCUCUGACUCCUGAAGCGCCGGCUUUCUUCAAGCCCUUUUUCUUAACAAUGAAGCUAGCACCAAUAAAAAAACUGGAGGAAAGAGCAAGAACCAAGCCCUUAACAUUAUCAGAGGACAUGCCCUCCCGCCAGCUCGGAGUUUGAGUGGUUGCCAUGGAGGAUAGAAACCCUAGGUUGGAAGUUUGGGAAGCAUAUCAUAACAUCAAUGAAAAGCAGAAUUCAGAAAUGGGCAGUGAGUCACUUGGGGAAGUGGAAGCGAGUCAGGUAAACGGAAUUAAUGUCGGAUCUUGAGGCAAGAGAAACUCAGAUCGGGAUUAUCUUGGAGAAAAA